RNAcentral lists this ribosomal RNA (465 nucleotides) under uncultured bacterium. Its description in RNAcentral is "partial 16S ribosomal RNA". It matches the Rfam family "Bacterial small subunit ribosomal RNA", at positions 28 to 507 of the family's 1533-position model. The record is from RNAcentral.
GACGAACGCUGGCGGCGUGCUUAACACAUGCAAGUCGAACGGAAAGGCCCCUUCGGGGGUACUCGAGUGGCGAACGGGUGAGUAACACGUGAGUAACCUGCCCUUGACUUCGGGAUAACUUCAGGAAACUGGGGCUAAUACCGGAUAGGAAUCCUUGCUGCAUGGUGGGGGUUGGAAAGCUUCGGCGGUUUUGGAUGGACUCGCGGCUUAUCAGCUUGUUGGUGGGGUAGUGGCUUACCAAGGCUUUGACGGGUAGCCGGCCUGAGAGGGCGACCGGCCACAUUGGGACUGGGAUACGGCCCAGACUCCUACGGGGGGCAGCAGUGGGGAAUAUUGCACAAUGGGCGGAAGCCUGAUGCAGCAACGCCGCGUGCGGGAUGACGGCCUUCGGGUUGGAAACCGCUUUCAGCAGGGGCGAAGCUUGUGGUGACGGUACCUGCAGAAGAAGCACCGGCUAACUACGUG